UGGGGAAUAUUGCACAAUGGGCGCAAGCCUGAUGCAGCAACGCCGCGUGAGGGACGACGGCCUUCGGGUUGUAAACCUCUUUUAGUAGGGAAGAAGCGAAAGUGACGGUACCUGCAGAAAAACGCACCGGCUAACUACGUGCCAGCAGCCGCGGUAAUACGUAGGGUGCGAGCGUUGUCCGGAAUUAUUGGGCGUAAAGAGCUCGUAGGCGGUCUGUCGCGUCUGCUGUGAAAACCCGAGGCUCAACCUCGGGACCUGCAGUGGGUACGGGCAGACUAGAGUGCGGUAGGGGAGAAUGGAAUUCCUGGUGUAGCGGUGGAAUGCGCAGAUAUCAGGAGGAACACCGAUGGCGAAGGCAGUUCUCUGGGCCGUAACUGACGCUGAGGAGCGAAAGCGUGGGGAGCGAACAGGAUUAGAUACCCUGGUAGUCCACGCCGUAAACGUUGGGCGCUAGAUGUGGGGCACCAUUCCACGGUUUCCGUGUCGCAGCUAACGCAUUAAGCGCCCCGCCUGGGGAGUACGGCCGCAAGGCUAAAACUU
RNAcentral lists this ribosomal RNA (540 nucleotides) under uncultured bacterium. RNAcentral's name for it is "partial 16S ribosomal RNA". It matches the Rfam family "Bacterial small subunit ribosomal RNA", at positions 355 to 902 of the family's 1533-position model. The record is from RNAcentral.